UGUUUUUUGUUUUUCUCAUAAGCUUAUAUCAUUUCUUCCCUGCCAUUAUGGAAUUUUGAAAGAAACCUCUGUUUUGUUGACAGAAUGAAAGCUUUCACUGGGAUACUUUCUUAGACUUCGGUAUACAAUAUGAUGACAUUCGUCAUUGGGGAUUUGUACCUUUACAUGGUCUGUCAUAAUGCAGUUUCAAAAUUUAGGCUGCUUGGAAUGUAAAAGAAAGUGGAACCCUUUCUAGAGGCUUACUCUUCAUUGGAAGUGAUUAUAGGGGGGACCAAGGACUUGGCAUGAACACCAACCCUAGCAGCCUCAUGGGAUCACGGCUGAGUCAUCCAGAGGGACCAGAAACAGACUUUGAAAAGGAAGGAAUUAUUGUCAAGGAAGGAACCAAGGGGUAGAACCAGAGGAACAGUGGCUACCUCAGGAUUGUUAUUGAGUUGAUUAAUCUGAAUUGUUGGUGACACAGUUUAUGGACUUCGUCUCCCAGAACUUCUGUGACCAAUUCUAGCAGCAGGCUACACAAGGUAGAGAAGGAGGGGGUUAGGGAGGAGGGGAGCAAACAUUUUGUGUCUCUAUAUUUUACAAGGGAAAAAGCUUUAGUUUCUUUCUCAUUUUUAUCUGUCUUCUCUGAUACCAUUAUUAUUCUUGAUCCUUUCCUUUGUUCAUAAACACAUGUGUAUAAAAAUUCAUUUUUUACAUCAUACAUUAACCCUUCCUCUACCUCCCAGAUGUAGUUUUUCUUAAGUAAAUGUUUACCCUGACCUAUGCUUACACUUUAUCUGAAGACUCAUUAGGUAACUACCUACAUACCAAAGAGUUAAUUUGCCCAGAGAAGGCUAAUUUGUAUGGUCUUCCUCAGAAACACACACACACACACACACACACACACACACAUUUCUUGAAAGCAAAAACCAGCAGGUUCCAACAAAUUCAUUCUUAGAGGUAACCAGGCUAAUAUUCUGACCUAAAAAGAUAGUCUCUAUGGAGUCCCCUGAACUCUCAGAUUCCAUCCUGAGGCUUAAGUUGCUACUUACUGACCUCCACAUCCUUCUCUGUGUCCCAGGCAGUGCCAUGCCUUAUGCCCAAUCACUCUCCUGUGGUCACACAUUUCCAGAUGAACAUGGACAGGACUGUAGAAAACCUACUAAAAUCAGGUGCUCAGAUAUAGCCCAGAGAUAUGUAUUUGAACUGUGUAUUGAAUUACUAAUAUGUGUUAUAUGCUUUAAAACCUAGACAAAUACAUCAAUUAAUAGUGCUAAUCAGAUUUGAUGGAUGCUGCAUUAGUCAGAUGUAUUACUGUGUGCUUGGGGGGAUGUUCAGAGACCUGGGGGAGGCCUCAGAGAGACUUACUUUGGGUUAGGGUGGGCUGCUAGCUGAUGAUCUGGUUCCUUAGCACACAUCAGGAAAAAAAGGAAAAACUAAGGAAGCUUGUGAGGAGUGUGAUGUCUGACAACUUUGGUGUACUCUCCAAGUGUAAUAAUUGGUGAUCCAUCUAUGCCAGUGAUGUUCCAAAUGAUAAAUCUGUGUUGUCUCAUAAAAACUUCACAAUAAACUUUUGAAG
Molecule: non-coding RNA, 1558 nt
Organism: Heterocephalus glaber (naked mole-rat)
Lineage: Eukaryota; Metazoa; Chordata; Mammalia; Rodentia; Bathyergidae
Source: RefSeq, a predicted model, not a curated record